AUACGUAGGGUGCGAGCGUUGUCCGGAAUUACUGGGCGUAAAGAGCUCGUAGGUGGUUUGUCGCGUCGUCUGUGAAAUUCCGGGGCUUAACUCCGGGCGUGCAGGCGAUACGGGCAUAACUUGAGUACUGUAGGGGAGACUGGAAUUCCUGGUGUAGCGGUGAAAUGCGCAGAUGUCAGGAGGAACACCGGUGGCGAAGGCGGGUCUCUGGGCAGUAACUGACGCUGAGGAGCGAAAGCAUGGGUAGCGAACAGGAUUAGAUACCCUGGUAGUCCAUGCCGUAAACGGUGGGCGCUAGGUGUAGGGGUCUUCCACGACUUCUGUGCCGUAGCUAACGCAUUAAGCGCCCCGCCUGGGGAGUACGGCCGCAAGGCUAAAACUCAAAUGAAUUGACGGGG
This 398-nucleotide ribosomal RNA is filed under the name uncultured bacterium. Its description in RNAcentral is "partial 16S ribosomal RNA". It matches the Rfam family "Bacterial small subunit ribosomal RNA", at positions 523 to 918 of the family's 1533-position model. The record is from RNAcentral.